RNAcentral lists this transfer RNA (68 nucleotides) under Myocastor coypus (nutria). RNAcentral describes it as "tRNA-Gly". The record is from RNAcentral. Lineage: Eukaryota; Metazoa; Chordata; Mammalia; Rodentia; Myocastoridae.
ACUUUCUUAGUAUACUUAGUACUACUGACUUCCAAUCAGUAAGCUCCGAAUAACUCCGGAAGAGAGUA